Molecule: long non-coding RNA, 512 nt
Organism: Carassius auratus (goldfish)
Lineage: Eukaryota; Metazoa; Chordata; Actinopteri; Cypriniformes; Cyprinidae
Exons: 4
Source: RefSeq, a predicted model, not a curated record
UAUAAUUAUUCAUUUAAUGUGACCCUUUUCAGUCUGAAUAAAUUUCAUAUAUUUUGUGCCCUUUUAUGAACUAUCUGUACCUUUUUUUCUGUCAACCACAGGUUAUUUUCCCUGCAGCCCCCGACACCAGUCAAUAUUGCUCUUCCAUAGAGGUUACUGAUAAAUUUGAUAGUAGGGGGGUUGGAGCUACAUAUAUUAAAAAAAAAUAGAAUGGCGCAGAAGUACAACUCACGCUGGAGGAGAAAGGUGAAGAGCCAGCAAAAUACUUGCAAAAGAUACAGAAGAAAGGACACACAAGGACAGGAAAAUAGAGAAGCAACAAACUGGAGGUCAGAUGAUUGCAGCACAGAGCAAGUGACCAGAUCUGCUAAUUUGGAAGAUUCUUCAAACACAAAUGUGUGUAACAUCCAUUACGCCAACCCUUCAUCCCAGUGCUAUGGACACACAAGUGAGAUGCAUCACUCUGGUCUUAAUGCUGAAUCAGAGCCUGAACAGCCUAUUUACAUGGAUAC